Molecule: unclassified non-coding RNA, 229 nt
Filed under: Kedrostis courtallensis
Lineage: Eukaryota; Viridiplantae; Streptophyta; Magnoliopsida; Cucurbitales; Cucurbitaceae
Description: sequence contains ITS1
Source: RNAcentral
UUCGUAGGUGACCUGCGGAGGAUCAUUGUCGAUGCCUAAAACAUCAAACGACCCGCGAACGCGUUUUAACCAAAACCACGCGUGUGCGCCCUCGGCCCGCGCGCGCCCAAACAAACAAACCCCGGCGCAGGUCGCGCCAAGGAACUCCAACGAAUUCGCCUGCCCCCUGCCCCGGCUCUGGAGCGCGGGGGGCAGAGCAUUCUUGUCGUAUUAUUUCACAACGACUCUC